RNAcentral lists this long non-coding RNA (2560 nucleotides) under Homo sapiens (human). RNAcentral describes it as "HSALNT0028428". The record is from RNAcentral. Lineage: Eukaryota; Metazoa; Chordata; Mammalia; Primates; Hominidae.
UAUUAGUAGAGACGGGGUUUCAUCAUGUUGGCCAGGAUGGUCUCGAUCUUUUGACCUCAUGAUCCGCCCCCCUCAGCCUCCCAAAGUGCUGGGAUUACAGGCGUGAGCCACUGCGCCUGGCCUGAAAUUUUUUUUUUUUUAAGAAAAGGCUAAUUCUGGGCUUAAAAAGUAUUCAACUGGACAUCUGCAGCAGAGAAAUUCUUUUAAACAGGUGGAGCUCCCCAGAAGCAGACUGCAGAGAACGGAGUGCAGGAAGAUUCCCAAAGAGAGCCUCGGGAUGAACGCCUACGGAGAAGGUGGCAGUGGGAUCAGGCAGAUGGAGAGGCUGGCUGCGAUGCAGUCACAACCAGGCCUCCACUGAGCCCACGAGGAACCCUGAAACUGGGAUGGCCCUUCAGAGUUAUCCCCAGCUGGAGCAUGGACCAGGCCUUUACAUCUUCCCCUUCGAUCAGACAGGAGGUCCCAUGUGGAUUCUGGAAUCAGAAAAGCCUGCUUCCUGAGUUUGAAUCCAGUCUUCAUCCUUCAACUGUGGGACCCUGGACAAGAACCAACAUCUUCCAGCAGAGACCACCAAGAACACACUUGUGGUUGAAUAAGUUACUAAAUCCCUCCAUGUAUAAAUCUCUCCACCAUAAAAUGGGGGUAAGAAGGCCGGGCGCGGUGGCUCAUGCCUGUAAUCCCAGAACUUUGGAAGGCCGAGGCGGGUGGAUCACCUGAGGUGAGGAGUUUGAGACCAGCCUGACUAACAUGGUGAAAUCCUGUCUCUACUAAAUACAAAAAAUUAGCCAGGCACGGUGGCGGGUGCCUCUAAUCCCAGCUACUUGGGAGGCUGAGGCAGGAGAAUUGCUUGAACCCAGGAGGUGGAGGUUACAGUAAGCUGAGGUUGCGCCAUUGUACUCUAGCCUGGGCAACAGGAGCAAAACUCCAUCUCAUAAAUAAAUAAAUAAAUAAAUAAAUAAAUAAAUAAAUAAAUAAAAUGGGGGUAAGAGCUCUACCUUGUAGGGCAGUUUUGAAGAAUGCAUAAGACGAUGUGACACAGAGGGCAACAGCUCAUUUCGUGUUAUUCUUCCCCCACGAACCCCAUGAGAACACCACACAGCAGCUGCUCGAACACCAAUUUUAUAGGUUGGGAAACUAGAUGGAAAAGGUCAGUGCAUUUUGAUGGAAAUCAGAAGUGAAAUAGCCAUCCAUGCUAAGACUGCAACUAAGCUUCCCAUUUUGAGCGCCAGCAGCAAAUAACCACCAGCAAUUGACACGGGGGUGGCCAGCUCGGCACAGGGUCACAGUGGGGUUGGAGUACUGUCCAGGACCUGGUUUUGGGGAAACUGGGGGCACCAUCGGGACCUGGGGGGUGGGGAGUGGUCAUCACUGGAACCGUGAUGCCUGUGUUUCACUUGGCAGCUUUCGCACUGAGCUCACAGAGAGAUGGCCUUAGGCGCAGAAUCCAGAGAGCACCCCUGGGAAUAGAGUGCACCCUGACUCUGGGUCAGGGACUGAGCAGGGACCAGAACCAACUUCUUUUCUUUCCCACACAUCAUCUUGUCUGCUAAUAAUAGAGUUCAUCACCAGUGAGAUUUCCAGAAUAAAGCCCACCCAGCUUUUUCCCCUAAUUAUAUCCUCUCCCUGGUAAUUGCAGAGUUGUUCAGGGCCUGCAUCUGGCUUGUAAGAGCAUUUCCAGGAAAACCAGAUUGAGUACCACCUCUCACUUGAUAGAACAAAAGGAAAGUUGCACACUUUGAAGGCUCAGCUUCUCCAGUAGAAAGUAACCUGUGGGGCUAUAGAAAGGCACCAGGUAUGGAAUCCCAAGUCAGUUCCUUCUCAGCUAUAUGGAUUUAGGAAUACAUUCAGCCUCAACAUGCUCAGCUGUAAAAUGGGAAUAAAAAAACUGCACUACCCUUCAUAUUCCCGAAGACUGUUGCAAAAAUGAUCUUUAUGGAUUCACAUGUAAAAAGAACUGCACAAUAAUAAAAAAGUAUUUCCUAUACAGUGAUUUUGUUUACCAGCAAAUAAAACAGAUUUGACACAAAAUGAAAAGGUCAUAUAUUAUAACUAAAGUCUCCUUGGUGAUAUAACUAAUGCUCUUCUUUAAUGUUACCUAAUGAUGGUUAAAUCUAGGAAUCUGCUCUUUAAGAAAUCACCAAAAAACCAUCUGGGAUGUCCGGGCUCUGCUUAGUAAGGCAGAGAAGUUGACUCUUACAUAUUAUUUGAUCCAUCCAUUGGCUAUAGUUUGUAUAUUGUUCCCCACCAAAUCUCAUGUUGAACUGUAAUCCCUAAUGCUGGAGGUGGGGCCUGGUGGAAAGUGUCUGGCUUAUGGGGGCAGACCUCUCAUGACUUUGUGUUGUCUUCAGAUGGUUAGUUCUCAUGAGAUCUGGUCAUUUAAAAGUGUGUGGCGCCUUCUCCCCGACCUUGCUCCCAUUCUCACCAUGUGAUGUGCCUGCUUGGCCUUCGCCUUCCGCCAUGAUUGGAAGCUUCCUGAGGCCUCCCCAGAAGCAGAUGCCACUAUGCUUCCUGUACAGCCUGCAGAAACAUAAGCCAAUUAAACCUCUUUUCUUUAUAAAUU